RNAcentral lists this ribosomal RNA (292 nucleotides) under uncultured bacterium. RNAcentral's name for it is "partial 16S ribosomal RNA". It matches the Rfam family "Bacterial small subunit ribosomal RNA", at positions 505 to 796 of the family's 1533-position model. The record is from RNAcentral.
GUGCCAGCCGCCGCGGUAAUACGUAGGGGGCAAGCGUUGUCCGGAUUCAUUGGGCGUAAAGAGCGUGUAGGCGGCCAGGCAGGUCCGCUGUGAAAACUCGAGGCUCAACCUCGAGAUGUCGGUGGAAACCGUCUGGCUAGAGUCCGGAAGAGGAGAGUGGAAUUCCCGGUGUAGCGGUGAAAUGCGCAGAUAUCGGGAAGAACACCCGUGGCGAAGGCGGCUCUCUGGGACGGUACUGACGCUGAGACGCGAAAGCGUGGGGAGCGAACAGGAUUAGAUACCCCCGUAGUCC